GGUUGGUGCAAACAAAAGCUUGGUGCAAAUGCUAUACUUGCGGUAUCACUUGCUGUGUGCAAGGCAGGAGCUAUUGUUAAGAAGAUUCCUCUUUACCAGCACAUUGCCAACCUUGCUGGAAACAAGAACCUGGUGUUGCCUGUUCCUGCCUUCAAUGUUAUCAAUGGUGGUUCUCAUGCAGGAAACAAGCUUGCGAUGCAGGAGUUUAUGAUUCUUCCAGUUGGAGCUUCCACUUUCAAGGAGGCCAUGAAAAUGGGAGUGGAAGUAUAUCAUCAUCUGAAGGCCGUAAUUAAAAAGAAGUACGGUCAGGAUGCCACAAAUGUUGGCGAUGAGGGUGGUUUUGCUCCCAAUAUUCAGGAAAACAAGGAGGGUCUUGAACUAUUGAAGACAGCCAUUGCAAAGGCUGGAUACACUGGCAAGGUUGUCAUUGGGAUGGAUGUUGCCGCAUCCGAGUUCUACAAUGACAAGGACAAGACCUAUGAUCUCAAUUUCAAGGAGGAGAACAACGAUGGUUCCCAGAAAAUCUCAGGCGAUAGUUUGAAGAAUGUGUACAAAUCCUUUGUAGCGGAGUACCCGAUUGUCUCUAUUGAAGACCCAUUUGACCAGGAUGACUGGACCCAUUAUGCUAAGAUGACCGAAGAGAUUGGGGAGCAAGUGCAGAUUGUUGGUGAU
This 672-nucleotide unclassified non-coding RNA is filed under the name Hevea brasiliensis (rubber tree). Lineage: Eukaryota; Viridiplantae; Streptophyta; Magnoliopsida; Malpighiales; Euphorbiaceae. The record is from RNAcentral.